Molecule: long non-coding RNA, 328 nt
Organism: Macadamia integrifolia
Lineage: Eukaryota; Viridiplantae; Streptophyta; Magnoliopsida; Proteales; Proteaceae
Exons: 3
Source: RefSeq, a predicted model, not a curated record
ACCAAAGUAAAAGCAAAGAGAAGGAGAAAGAGAAAGAAGAAGACGGAGAAGGAGAGCAAGGAAGGAAGAGGAAGGGAGAAGCAAGGGUUUCCUACCAACUAAGGAGUAGAACCAAGAGGUGACGAGACACGGCGCGAGGCCAUCAGCGGUCCAUCAUCACCUAGGACUCAAGAUGUUGGUUCAGGUAACCCUUUGGAAACUGUGAUUGAGGAUCCGGCUCUCUACGGAGGUGACCUCUGGGGAUGAGGAGCUGGUUGCACACGAGGAUGGAUGCGUAUGCGAUGGCUGUGCAUUUGGAGCACGUUGAGGAUGGGAGUAUCAUUUUCUC